Molecule: non-coding RNA, 1151 nt
Organism: Carica papaya (papaya)
Lineage: Eukaryota; Viridiplantae; Streptophyta; Magnoliopsida; Brassicales; Caricaceae
Source: RefSeq, a predicted model, not a curated record
AAAAACCCUAAACCCUAUGGGACAACUCCUACGGUUUUCUAUUGCUUACUCCGACUCCACUCGGUGGUGCCGCCAAAGAUAACGGAUAGAGGAAGACCAGAGGGGCGGAUGCGGAUGAAAAAGCAGGCUUCUUUGAACACAAGUAUGGCACCAGAAUAUUCCUGGUUUCACCUUCGGCGGUACGACACAAAAAUGAAUAAGAUAGUCUCAAGUGACCAGCAGGACUUGUUCGCAUCCUAUGACGAAGGCUUAUGACAGUUUUGACUGGAUGGGGUUGCUGGAGAACCUUAUGUAUAUGGUUUGAGAAGUUUCUGCAAUUCAGGGAGACGAUUUGUUCCAUUCUGCAAGGACUUUGGUGCCAUUCAACAGGGCGCAGUCCAGAACUGGAAAGCAACUUUAAGUUCUGCCAUUAUGCAGCAACUUGAUUAUAAUCUGUUCAUUGCCAGGCUUUGGUUUUGGCAAUCCACUAGGGAACUUGUCCACUGGAUUUGAAAAGGUGAUGCCGGGGUAAUGGCAAUUGUCUUGGAGAUAAAGUUCAUGCUUAUUUUGGUGGGACGAGUGUUCAUGAGGUUAGCAUAUUCUUCAAGUAGAAGGUCAUGCUGUUGGUACUCCCAAUCGUGUGUUUGACAUGUUGCAGACGCAAUCUCUUUGCUUUUGCUACAUCAAGAUUUUUGUAUUGGAUGAGGCUGAUGAAAUGCUUUCACAUGAUUUCAAGGUUCAGCUUUGUCGUUUUGUCUUGGUCCCAGCUCUUGUUUAUUGGGGUGUAAUGAAAGAUGAGAAAUGUAAAUUUUCUAAGAUGUGGCUGUCAGAUAUGACGUUUUCCAGCUUCUGCCAACCAAGAUUCAGGUUAUAGCUUUCUGUGCAAAGGACUUUAGAUCACAAAGAAAUUGAUGAAGAAAGCUCUGAGAUUCUUUGUGAAGCCCUUGAGGGUAUCAAACAGUUUAUAUAAUCCACCUAAACACAACAAACGAUGUGGGAUUUACAUGAGAUGCCACAGGUGUUGGUAAUAUUAUAUUACCCCUAGUUGGCAGUAGCAUCAUCCAUGAUAGGCCCUCGUUUACAUGUUCUGAUCUAUAUAGUGAUGUCACUGUACUAGUGGGUAUGCAUUCACACAGAUAAUAAUGGAUAUCUUCUGUAAAUUCAGGAGGAAA